Molecule: long non-coding RNA, 626 nt
Organism: Phyllopteryx taeniolatus (common seadragon)
Lineage: Eukaryota; Metazoa; Chordata; Actinopteri; Syngnathiformes; Syngnathidae
Exons: 4
Source: RefSeq, a predicted model, not a curated record
CUUGUUUUCUUACCGCGAGCUCUGGCAUUUUCCUAGUGGUCUUUCUUGCCCCACUCCUUCCUCAUUUAGUCGUUUGUUUGCACUUGAUUGUUAGCUAAUUGUACUACUUGUCUGUAGUGCUUUGUUUAUUAAGCCUUUUCUUUUGUACUUUGUAUAUUUAUUGUUCUACCUACUCGGCAGUCGCACUUUUAUUCGUACUUUGCUGGAAUAAAGACGCAGGACUCUAUUUUCGUGACAGGCUUGAAUCUUACACGUCUAGAGUGGAGACAUCUCUAUACGGAAGAGGACGAUGCGUAAUCGCAGCGAUCCGUGUAUUGACACAGCUCUUGGGCGGUGUGGCGACAGACAACGUCCUGGCGCUGCCGUCCUGACACUGGAGCCAGAUGCGCUGGGUCCGGGUUCGGUCAGUGACGCAGCGCCACUCCUGGGUCUCUCUCCGGCUCCAGUACCUCCCGGUGUAACCCCCGCCGAUCCAGUUGGGGAGCAGGUGGCUCGUCCUGAGUGGCGUGGGUCGGCUGUGCACUGAGUGACUCUGUGGCGUCAUUGGAGAAAGCGGUGCAACUCCUGCUCAGGAAUAGCAGGAGCGCAAGGAGUUGGACUCUACUAGUUGGGCGGGUCAUGACUGC